UCCGGAGGAUGCAAUCGUUAUCCGGAAUUAUUGGGCGUAAAGAGUCCGUAGGUGGCGAUUCAAGUCUGCUGUCAAAGCGUGGAGCUUAACUCCAUUAAGGCAGUGGAAACUGAAUGGCUAGAGUCCGGUAGGGGUAGCGGGAAUUCCCAGUGUAGCGGUGAAAUGCGUAGAGAUUGGGAAGAACAUCGGUGGCGAAAGCGCGCUACUGGGCCGGAACUGACACUGAGGGACGAAAGCUAGGGGAGAGAAAGGG
This 253-nucleotide ribosomal RNA is filed under the name uncultured bacterium. RNAcentral's name for it is "partial 16S ribosomal RNA". It matches the Rfam family "Bacterial small subunit ribosomal RNA", at positions 524 to 776 of the family's 1533-position model. The record is from RNAcentral.